UACAGAGGGUGCAAGCGUUUAAUCGGGAAUUACUGGGCGUAAAGCGUGCGUAGACGGUCAUGUAAGUCGGGGUGUGAAAGCCCCGGGCUCAACCUGGGGAAUUGCAUUCGAGACUGCAUGGCUAGGAUGCGGAAGAGGGAAGCGGAAUUUCCGGUGUAGCGGUGAAAUGCGUAGAUAUCGGAAGGAACACCAGUGGCGAAAGCGGCUUCCUGGUCCAGCAUCGACGGUUCAGGCACGAAAGCGUGGGGAGCAAACAGG
This 258-nucleotide ribosomal RNA is filed under the name uncultured bacterium. RNAcentral describes it as "partial 16S ribosomal RNA". It matches the Rfam family "Bacterial small subunit ribosomal RNA", at positions 524 to 776 of the family's 1533-position model. The record is from RNAcentral.